Molecule: ribosomal RNA, 201 nt
Filed under: uncultured bacterium
Lineage: Bacteria
Description: partial 16S ribosomal RNA
Rfam family: Bacterial small subunit ribosomal RNA
Source: RNAcentral
ACGCUCGACACCUACGGGAGGCAGCAGUUGGGAAUAUUGGACAAUGGAGGAAACUCUGAUCCAGUGACGCCGCGUGAAGGAAGAAGGUCUUCGGAUUGUAAACUUAUUUUGUCAGGGAAGAAAAAAUGACUGUACCUGAAGAAAAAAGCACCGGCUAACUACGUGCCAGUAGCCGCGGUAAUCUGAGCGGGCUGGCAAGGC